Anolis carolinensis (green anole) is the source of this 1212-nucleotide long non-coding RNA. RefSeq lists it as uncharacterized. The transcript has 2 exons. The record is from RefSeq and is a predicted model, not a curated record. NCBI's taxonomy places the organism in Eukaryota, Metazoa, Chordata, Lepidosauria, Squamata, Anolidae.
UGGCCUGAGUCCAAAGUAUAGUUUCUAAGUUAUAGGUUAGUGGGGGUUUUAAUAGAAAAAAUAGGCCAUUUGAAAAAAAGGAAAGGGAGGCUCUUUGAUCCAUAAGAAAAAAGUCAAAAAUCAGUAUCAACUUUAUUAGGCUCAAGAACAUCUUCACAAAAUUUAAGUUCAUUAGACUCUUCGCUGAUGUCACGCAAUGUCAGUGAGAGAGAAAAAGGCUAAAUGGAUACUGUCACCAAUCUUUUUGUGUAGUGACAACAGCAAUCCUGCAGAUUUUCUUUACAAUCUGCACACUGAAAGCGAAGCCUUGGCAGCGAGGAAGGAGGCUGGCUGGGGCCCUGGCAGGCGGGGAGGAGCCUUGGUCUGCUUCGUCAGAGGGAGUUUCCUGGUUCAGAGCCUCUUCUGGCUCUCAGGCCCCGGGACUGCUCGGGCCAGCUUAGCCUAGCGGUUCCUUCGCUUUCUCUGCAAGAAACCACUUCGAUGUUCGAUGUUCAGGUCCCGCGGGCGCUGCCUGGUCUUUUGAUUUUCCUUUUAAAAUUAUUUAAAUACUUGAUUUUUUAAAUACGUUUGCUUACGUUACAUGUUUACCUAGCCAAAGGUUUGUAAUGUUUGUCUUCCAUGAAAACACAAGAUGUCAGUAGCAUGGCCCUGUGUUGCAGUUUCCCCUUUUCAUGACCAGAGGAAAUGAUUUGGGCUGAGGGGAAAAAUUGGUACCAUCGCCCCCAAAUAUUUUUCUCAUCUAUUAGCAAAAGUGAAGCCAGACACCUCUAUUAUCUGCCAGUCAUGCCGACCACAUGACCUUGGAGGUGUCUACAGACAACGCCGGAUCUUCGGCUUAGAAAUGGAGAUGAGCACCGACCCCCAGCGUCAGACAUGACUGGACUUAACGUCAGGGGAAAUCUUUACUUUUACCUUUAUAGUUGUAUAGAUAAAUAUACAUUUGCCUUUUAGAAUUGCCCUGGGGUUCUCAAUAAUCCAACUUUAUAUACAUAUUUAUUUUUUUCUUUUCGUAAAUAAUCUAUCAGUGGUUUCCAAUCCGUUCUAUUAAUUGAUAAUCUAUCCUGGGCCAUUUUUUGUGUAAGGGUGUCCAUGUUCACAAUGUCCAAUAUUUUAGAGAUCCAUUGUUCCGUAUUGGGAGUUUCCUCAAUUUUCCAUCUCUGUGCCAAUAUAAUUCUAGCCGCAGUUGUAAAAUAAAAUAUAAGUUUAUCUGUG